UAAUAAUCGAGUGUACUCGUAUAUUUUUGGAAAUAGGGUCCAAAAGUUUCUACCAAACUACCGUAAAUAGUUUGACUACGAGGGUAUUGAU
This 91-nucleotide non-coding RNA is filed under the name Rubeoparvulum massiliense. RNAcentral's name for it is "Purine riboswitch". The stretch from base 16 to 82 matches the Rfam family "Purine riboswitch aptamer", at positions 20 to 86 of the family's 102-position model. Rfam says of the family: Riboswitches are metabolite binding domains within certain messenger RNAs that serve as precision sensors for their corresponding targets. The record is from RNAcentral. Lineage: Bacteria; Bacillati; Bacillota; Bacilli; Caryophanales; Bacillaceae.